Molecule: RNA transcript, 3320 nt
Organism: Aquila chrysaetos chrysaetos
Lineage: Eukaryota; Metazoa; Chordata; Aves; Accipitriformes; Accipitridae
Gene: JPT1
Gene name: Jupiter microtubule associated homolog 1
Exons: 6
Source: RefSeq, a predicted model, not a curated record
GCCGCCGGUGCGGGCGGCGGCUGCAGUUGUCACCGGCAGCAGCAGGGCAAGGCAGGGACGGGGAGGGUGCUCCGUCCCCGGGACCGUCACCGCCCGCUGGCCUCUCAACGGAGCCCUUUCCCGAAACUUCGUCCAUCUCCUCCGUCCCUGCCGCCAUGACCACCACGACCACCUUUUCGGGCAUGGACCCCAGUGGCAGGAACAGCUCCAGAGUGCUGCGUCCUCCUGGUGGCGGGUCCAACUUUUCCUUGGGUUUUGACGAACCGAAAGAACAACCUGUGCGAAGGAACAAAAUGGCAUCCAGCAUCUUUGGAACUCCUGAAGAAAACCCACCUUCCUGGGCUAAAUCAUCGGGGACUAAGCCAGGUGAAAUCAGAGAUGACUGUGAAUCAUCUGGACCACAAAGAAGAAACUCAACUGAUGCAAACUGUGGAGACUUUGUAGAUCCCAAGGGAGGAGAUGGUGGUGGUGAAACUUCUGAGCACAGAAGCUGAGCCCCAUGAAUAAUGCAGCUGAUAUCAGGAAGAAACUGGAGUUGUAGAAGACAUAGUGGAAAUCACUAGUUAUAUCUACCAGGAGACCUGAAAUAGAAGCCAUGGCUUAGUCAAAGAGAAGACGCAUACUAAAGGCAACUAGGUGACAUUUACAUAAAUGUUAAACCUAAAUCAUUCAGCAAACUGCUAUAUACAAAAGAUAAGCAUUCACAGAUGAGUUAAGUUCUCUUCUCUAGAUUCUAGGGGUUGUUUGGUUUUUUGUAGUCACCACUCAGGUGAUGUUUCUGCUUCUGUAUAAAGUAUUUCUCAAUACACAGAAAAAUCAGGACAGAAAGGGAAUUGUAGCUUUUCCCCAACCAGCUGAUUCAUUUUGUUUACCCAGCAGAGGACCCCUGUGCCACUGCCACUCACUGGAUUUUGGAAUGAGUGACCUUAUUACAUCCUAGGUCAGAAAACAGAACAAAUAGAUAGGGAAAUCUCUCAAAAAUUGACAUGUUAGGGUCUCUAAACUGAAACUUGUUGCUAAUAGUGUGUAAUCAGGGAGAAGAAAAUUCACAGCACAACAAGCAUUAUGACUAACAUUAAGUGCCCUCAAUAUAAAACAUUUAGAAGCAUGAUAUAUCAAAUAAGUAAUUUAACACUAAUGUUAGAGAUGGAAAGGCGAUACUCAGGUCAAAUAUACAAUGCCUUCUGUAGGCUGCUUAUUUAUAUGGAAAUACUGGAAUAAUGUUUGUUUGCUUGUAUUCUUCAGUAAAGAUUGGUAAUGUUUCUUUUAAUAGUGCACUUUUCUUUAGCAGAUUUUAGGACUACAGAUAAAAAUGGUGCUGCUUUUACUGUACUUCGUUUUGCCCAUCUGCCACUCCUAUUAGAGAUGUCCAAGAAAAGACCUUUUUUUGCACUUUUCUCAAAGUGACUGACACUAAUGCCAGGGAAUACCAUGAAAUGUGGUACAUGUUAUCAUCCCAUUCUUAGAACAGACAUUAUUUUCCUGCUGAAUAGUACACAAUUCAUUGCCUGGAGAAGAGAACUAAAGCCUGAAUUGAGGCUUCAUGCUCAGGUUCACGUUUCUUGUUAGUCUUUUGAAUUUGCUGCUGUGCUGCAGGAGCAGGUGCGUCUUGGACAGGUCACUUAGUGGCAUUUGGAGUGAACCGUGAAAUCUGUGAAUAAUUUAUUGGAUUUGGGGUCAUAACUAGCUCCUUUCUUGUCUCCAGAGAAAAAUCAAUACACUCUGGAACUCGGAAAGAAGAGUGAACAGAAGGCUUUUGAAUAAUGUAAGACUGGUAAUAAUUCUGAUCACAGUUAAUUUGUUUAAUGGGAUGUUUGCAAUUCCUUGAGACUUCAUAGAUAAAACAAUGCAAACUGGCAAAGCAGUGAAAGAGUUCAUAGACAGCAAGAUCCUACCACAGUAAUUCCUCUCUCUGACUUCCCUCUCACUAGAAAAAAGUUGUCAUCACUCCUAUACCUAUCAAAGCUGCCUUUUUUCACUGUCUGGUGUUGCUGCAGUGACAUUUGGGCGGCUGCAGAAAUGACCUUCCUUCAGCUGCGAGAAGGGGCUGAUCAUUCCUUUCCAACUCUCCCUUUUAUAUUGCUCCCUUUGCAUAACUCACUUGCCUGUAUGGGUUUGGAAAUGCCCUUAUUUUAAUUUAUGCUCCCAAACACUUGUCACCAGUGUCUAAACAACCAAUUUUUCCCCAGGCUGCUUUAAUAACUUCUCUCACCUGUGAGAGGGGGGCCAAUGAGGAGAGUGAUACUCUCCAGGAUGGUGAAGAGCCCUAGAGCACUUGAGAACCUGUCCAUCUCCACCACAUCCAUCAGCACCUGGAAGCCCGCAGAGAAGCACAGCCAGGCUGAAUAGGUAGAUGCGUCUCCCUGUGAAGACUCUGUGUCCUGAGAGCAGCCCUGUCAAAGGGCGUAUGAAGAUGUUGAUGAACCCGAUAACAGAGAUGAGAAGGGCUGCCCUGCGUUCCUCCACCCCAUUCUGGAUGGCAUAAGGCACAAGGUAGACAUGCGGUAAUGCAAACCCCAUCAUCAUCCAGGUCACUCCAAUAGUGUAAAUCUGGUAACCUUUGUUUUGACAGAAGAUGUCAAAAGCCAGAUACUUCUGCAGCAUCUGGAAGCAUGCAGUCCUUCUGGUUUGAUGCUGGAGCUCGGGGUGGGGAGAAGAUGCUCCAUUGGAGAGUUGUGCCUCUUCUGCUCUUCUCUCUGGCCCCUCUCCAGGCUUGGGUGACUGUAGUAGUGACCCUGAUGCCAGCUGAACUGGUCUCAUGAUGGCUCCAGAAACACAACAGUUCAAUAGUAUUCCUCCAAAGAUAAGAAAAGUGUUUCUCCAGCCCAUCUCAUCCAGCAAGUAUUGAGAAAGCAGCGGCCACAGCGUGAAACCGAGAGAGACGCCAGUGGAUGCCAUGGCAUUGGCCAGUGUUCGCCACCGUACAAAGUAGUAGCCCAGCGCAGUCACUCCUGCCUGGAAGCUGAAACACGAUCCCAGACCUAAAGGUAAGAGUAAAAGAGAAAAUGACAGGCAUGAUCCCUCUGUGUUGUCUUAAAGGGUGAAAAGAGCCCAAAUCCAGGGUAUAUCCACAGAUGACUUCAUCUGCCACUGAAGCAUUUCCUCACCUGCCAGGCUGCACAACCCCCAGUGAUUAAUACUCAGAAACCCCACACAGGGCAUGAAGAAGGAUGUUGUAAAUUACUUGUGUUCUUGGUUAAACUACUUGUGUUCUUUGGUAUACUAAAUAUUCUGAUCUAAGCUGACAUUUGUCUGGGGCACGCUGCCAUUCCUAAAAUUGUUAUGGAAUUGUUCAUUAAAAACUUGGUUUUUAUACCACA